RNAcentral lists this ribosomal RNA (472 nucleotides) under Bolitoglossa schizodactyla. RNAcentral's name for it is "partial large subunit ribosomal RNA". It matches the Rfam family "Bacterial large subunit ribosomal RNA", at positions 1819 to 2597 of the family's 2925-position model. The record is from RNAcentral. Lineage: Eukaryota; Metazoa; Chordata; Amphibia; Caudata; Plethodontidae.
CGCCUUUUGAAGUAUAAACAUAAAAGGUCCUGCCUGCCCAAUGACUUGUUUCAAUGGCCGCGGUAUUAUGACCGUGCAAAGGUAGCGUAAUCAUUUGUCUUCUAAAUAAAGACCAGUAUGAAUGGCUAGACGAAAGCCUUACUGUCUCCCUAGCCCAGUCAAUGAAAUUGAUCUCCCCGUGCAGAAGCGGGGAUAAUGAUAUAAGACGAGAAGACCCUGCGGAGCUUUAAACUCUAGUUUUAGGUUGGGGCGACCAUGAGGUACAACAUAACCCUCACGACAUGUAACAAAGAAGGACACUUCAAAUAUUGACCCAACAAUUGAUCAACGAACCAAGUUACCCCAGGGAUAACAGCGCAAUCCGCUCAAAAAGUCCAUAUUAACGAGCAGGUUUACGACCUCGAUGUUGGAUCAGGACACCCAAAUAGUGCAACAGCCAUUAAAGGUUCGUUUGUUCAACGAUUAAAGUCCU